UAGAGUUUGAUCCUGGCUCAGAUUGAACGCUGGCGGCAGGCCUAACACAUGCAAGUCGAGCGGUAACACAGGGGAGCUUGCUCCUUGGGUGACGAGCGGCGGACGGGUGAGUAAUGCCUGGGGACCUGCCCGAUAGAGGGGGAUAACUACGGGAAACUGUAGCUAAUACCGCAUAAUGUCUACGGACCAAAGUGGGGGCUCUUCGGACCUCAUGCUAUCGGAUGAACCCAGGUGGGAUUAGCUAGUUGGUGAGGUAAUGGCUCACCAAGGCGACGAUCUCUAACUGGUUUGAGAGAAUGACCAGUCACACUGGAACUGAGACACGGUCCAGACUCCUACGGGAGGCAGCAGUGGGGAAUAUUGCACAAUGGGCGCAAGCCUGAUGCAGCCAUGCCGCGUGUGUGAAGAAGGCCUUCGGGUUGUAAAGCACUUUCAGCGGGGAGGAAGGGUCACUAGUUAAUACCUAGUGGCAUUGACGUUACUCGCAGAAGAAGCACCGGCUAACUCCGUGCCAGCAGCCGCGGUAAUACGGAGGGUGCAAGCGUUAAUCGGAAUUACUGGGCGUAAAGCGCACGCAGGCGGUUUGUUAAGUCAGAUGUGAAAUCCCCGAGCUCAACUUGGGAACUGCAUUUGAAACUGGCAAGCUAGAGUCUUGUAGAGGGGGGUAGAAUUCCAGGUGUAGCGGUGAAAUGCGUAGAGAUCUGGAGGAAUACCGGUGGCGAAGGCGGCCCCCUGGACAAAGACUGACGCUCAGGUGCGAACGCGUGGGGAGCAAACAGGAAAGAUCCCCUGGUAGUCC
Molecule: ribosomal RNA, 799 nt
Filed under: uncultured bacterium
Lineage: Bacteria
Description: bacterial SSU rRNA
Rfam family: Bacterial small subunit ribosomal RNA
Source: RNAcentral